AUUACGAGACGGCAAAAAAUACAAAAAAAA
This 30-nucleotide small RNA is filed under the name Arabidopsis thaliana (thale cress). RNAcentral's name for it is "ATSL227610". The record is from RNAcentral. Lineage: Eukaryota; Viridiplantae; Streptophyta; Magnoliopsida; Brassicales; Brassicaceae.